AUGUUUCAAACAACUCUCUCUUAUGUGCCACAUGUAAUAACUCCACUUUAAAUGAACUCUCUAAACAAGUUGUUAUGGCACUCUCUAGCGGGCAAUAUCCCGAUUAUCUAGUUUCUAUCCUGUUUCUUUUGAUCUUCUGGAUCUUAUCCUGUGUUUUCGCCUUUGUGGUGUCGUAUUGAAUCUUUGUCUUUCUUUCUUUCUUUGUUGUGCCUAUUGUGUUUCCCAUCUAUUUGCAUUUUCUUCCCCUUCUUUCUCUGCAUUAAUUGUUUUCCUUUUGUUUUGACUUUUCUUAUGCAUUGCUUACUCAUUUAUUACUCCUUCUCUUCACUCUGUCUCAUUUAUUGCUUUAGAUUUUAUUGAGUAUCGUAGAUUUUGUCUCAGCUUUUCUUUGCCUUUCUCUUCCCUCUCUUGCUCGUUUCCUGUUCUACCAAUUAUGGCUACCAUCGUUUUGAAUCGAUCUAAGAGGGAGGCGAUUAUUAUUUCUACCAGCUAUAGGGUCUGAAUAGGGUUAUCAAAAGGACGGAUAAAGCAUCUUAACUCCAACUUCUACAACAUGUCUUUCAUCUCCAGUUUAGAGAAAAGAAAACAUAUGAUGUAAAAAUUGAAGUGGAUAGAACAAUUGCUGGCGGCCGGUGAUUCACAAAGGCUUGGACGAUUAAUGUUAAAAUGUAUAAGAAUUUUUCUUUCCUAGCUUAUUUUUUCAUGUUAACUUAUAAUUUUUAUAUAUUUAGUUAGAUAUAUUAACUUGUUAAACACUUGGACUAAUUUUAAAAUAUUUGUGUAAGUUAAUUGUAAUUUUUUUAAUUGCUUCUAUGAAAUUAAUUUAAGUAUAUUGGCUA
Cannabis sativa is the source of this 839-nucleotide long non-coding RNA. RefSeq lists it as uncharacterized. Lineage: Eukaryota; Viridiplantae; Streptophyta; Magnoliopsida; Rosales; Cannabaceae. The record is from RefSeq and is a predicted model, not a curated record. The transcript has 2 exons.